This is a non-coding RNA of Acanthosepion pharaonis, 98 nucleotides long. The record is from the annotation of a GenBank genome assembly. Lineage: Eukaryota; Metazoa; Mollusca; Cephalopoda; Sepiida; Sepiidae.
CUUGAAACACCAGUUCCCCUACGAUCACCAAAGUUUAGCAACGUCGAGCCUGGUCAGUACCUAGAUGGGUGACUGUUUGGGAAUACCAGAUGCUGUAA